RNAcentral lists this ribosomal RNA (744 nucleotides) under uncultured bacterium. RNAcentral's name for it is "bacterial SSU rRNA". It matches the Rfam family "Bacterial small subunit ribosomal RNA", at positions 8 to 796 of the family's 1533-position model. The record is from RNAcentral.
AGAGUUUGAUCAUGGCUCAGAGCGAACGCUGGCGGCAGGCUUAACACAUGCAAGUCGAGCGGGCGUAGCAAUACGUCAGCGGCAGACGGGUGAGUAACGCGUGGGAACAUACCUUUUGGUUCGGAACAACACAGGGAAACUUGUGCUAAUACCGGAUAAGCCCUUACGGGGAAAGAUUUAUCGCCGAAAGAUUGGCCCGCGUCUGAUUAGCUAGUUGGUGAGGUAAUGGCUCACCAAGGCGACGAUCAGUAGCUGGUCUGAGAGGAUGAUCAGCCACAUUGGGACUGAGACACGGCCCAAACUCCUACGGGAGGCAGCAGUGGGGAAUAUUGGACAAUGGGCGCAAGCCUGAUCCAGCCAUGCCGCGUGAGUGAUGAAGGCCCUAGGGUUGUAAAGCUCUUUUGUGCGGGAAGAUAAUGACGGUACCGCAAGAAUAAGCCCCGGCUAACUUCGUGCCAGCAGCCGCGGUAAUACGAAGGGGGCUAGCGUUGCUCGGAAUCACUGGGCGUAAAGGGUGCGUAGGCGGGUCUUUAAGUCAGGGGUGAAAUCCUGGAGCUCAACUCCAGAACUGCCUUUGAUACUGAGGAUCUUGAGUUCGGGAGAGGUGAGUGGAACUGCGAGUGUAGAGGUGAAAUUCGUAGAUAUUCGCAAGAACACCAGUGGCGAAGGCGGCUCACUGGCCCGAUACUGACGCUGAGGCACGAAAGCGUGGGGAGCAAACAGGAUUAGAUACCCUAGUAGUCC